ACUGAAUCCAUAGGUGUAUGAAGGCAUACCAGGGGAACUGAAACAUCUAAGUACCCUGAGGAAAAGAAAGAAACAUCGAUUCCCUAAGUAGCGGCGAGCGAAAGGGGAAGAGCCCAAACCGAAGGCUUUAGACUUCGGGGUUGAGGACACAACGCAAAUUAAGAGGAGUAAGGUAGUCGAAGGGUCUGGAAAGUCCCACCACAGAAGGUGAAAGUCCUGUAGACGAAACCUGAAAAACUUAAGUUGUGAUCCAGAGUACCAUGGGACACGUGAAAUCCUGUGGGAAGCAGGGAGGCCCACCUCCCAAGGCUAAAUACUCCCUGGUGACCGAUAGCGGAGAAGUACCGUGAGGGAAAGGUGAAAAGAACCCCGGGAGGGGAGUGAAAUAGAACCUGAAACCCUAUGCCUACAAGCAGUGGGAGCUCUAUAUAGGAGUGACCGCGUACUUUUUGUAGAACGUGCCAGCGAGUUAUGGUAUCAAGCGAGGUUAAGUACUUAAGGUACGAAGCCGUAGGGAAACCGAGUCUUAAUAGGGCGGAUAGUUUGAUACCAUAGACCCGAAACCGGGUGAUCUACCCAUGGGCAGAGUGAAGUUGAAGUAAAAUUCAAUGGAGGCUCGAACCGUUUAGCGUUUAAAAGCUAUCGGAUGACCUGUGGGUAGGGGUGAAAAGCCAAUCGAACUCGGAGAUAGCUGGUUCUCCUCGAAAUAGCUUUAGGGCUAGCCUCGAGAGAAGUGAUAUGGAGGUAGAGCACUGACUGGUCUAGGGGCGCGUAGCGUUACCAAAACCUAUCAAACUCCGAAUGCCAUAAUCAUGAUACUCGGGAGUCAGACUAUGUGGGAUAAGCUUCAUAGUCGAGAGGGAAAGAGCCCAGACCACCAGCUAAGGUCCCUAAAUCCAAAUUAAGUGGCAAAGGAGGUAAGGUUACACAGACAACCAGGAUGUUGGCUUAGAAGCAGCCAUACAUUUAAAGAGUGCGUAAUAGCUCACUGGUCGAGUGACCUUGCGCCGAAAAUUUCCGGGGCUUAAAUUUGGUACCGAAGCUGUGGAUCGUAGUGAGAUUAAUAGAAUUUUCAAAGAAGCAGCAAAGGUUGAUGAAAUUUUUGCCGAAGACAACCAUAUAUAAAGAUAAAGGUUUUCGGCCAAAUUAGUCAAGUUAAAUUUGGUAAUAUUGAGAGCUGUAUUAAUCUCACUACGGUGGUAGAGGAGCGUUCUGUACGGGCAGAAGCCAUACCGAAAGGAGUGGUGGACUGUACAGAAGUGAGAAUGCUGGCAUGAGUAGCGAGAAGGUAAGUGAGAAUCUUACCCGUCGAAAGCCUAAGGUUUCCUGAGGAAGGCUCGUCCGCUCAGGGUUAGUCGGGACCUAAGCUGAGGCCGAGAGGCGUAGGCGAUGGACAACAGGUUGAGAUUCCUGUACUAUCGAUUUGCGUUUGAGAGAAGGGGUGACGCAGGAGGAUAAGCUGAGCGUGCGGUUGGUAGGGCACGUCUAAGCUGGUAGGGAGUAAAGAUAGGCAAAUCCGUCUUUACAAUCCUGAGAAGCGAAUGGGAGCGAAAAACAAGUAGCGAAGCAGCUGACUCCACACUGCCGAGAAAAGCCUCUAUCGAGUAAAUCGAUACCCGUACCGCAAACCGACACAGGUAGGCGAGGAGAGAAUCCUAAGACGCGCGGAAGAACCCUUGUUAAGGAACUCGGCAAAAUGGCCCCGUAACUUCGGGAGAAGGGGUGCCAGAAGAGGUGAAGAGGGGACCCUUGGAGCCUCAUCUGGCCGCAGUGAAUAGGCCCAAGCGACUGUUUACCAAAAACACAAGUCUCUGCUAAGUCGAAAGACGAAGUAUAGGGGCUGACACCUGCCCGGUGCUGGAAGGUUAAGGGGAAGAGUUAGGGGAAACCCGAAGCUCAGAACUUAAGCCCCAGUAAACGGCGGCCGUAACUAUAACGGUCCUAAGGUAGCGAAAUUCCUUGUCGGGUAAGUUCCGACCCGCACGAAAGGUGUAACGACUUGGGCACUGUCUCAACAAGGGAUCCGGUGAAAUUGUAGUACACGUGAAGAUGCGUGUUACCCGCGACAGGACGGAAAGACCCCGUGGAGCUUUACUGCAGGCUGACAUUGGAUUUUGGUAUUACAUGUACAGGAUAGGUGGGAGGCAGAGAAGCAUGGACGCCAGUCUAUGUGGAGCCGUCCUUGGGAUACCACUCUUGUAAUACUGAAGUUCUAACCAGAGGCUUUGAAACAAGUCAUGGGACACUGUCAGUUGGGCAGUUUGACUGGGGCGGUCGCCUCCUAAAGGGUAACGGAGGCGCUCAAAGGUUCCCUCAGCACGGUCGGAAAUCGUGCGAAGAGUGUAAAGGCAGAAGGGAGCUUGACUGUGACACUGACAAGUGGAGCAGGAACGAAAGUUGGACUUAGUGAUCCGGUGGUACCGAGUGGAAGGGCCAUCGCUCAACGGAUAAAAGCUACCCCGGGGAUAACAGGCUUAUCUCCCCCAAGAGUCCACAUCGACGGGGAGGUUUGGCACCUCGAUGUCGGCUCGUCUCAUCCUGGGGCUGGAGUAGGUCCCAAGGGUUGGGCUGUUCGCCCAUUAAAGAGGCACGCGAGCUGGGUUCAGAACGUCGUGAGACAGUUCGGUCCCUAUCCGUCGUGGGCGUAGGAAAUUUGAGAGGAGCUGUCCUUAGUACGAGAGGACCGGGAUGGACAGACCGCUGGUGUAUCAGUUGUUUCGCCAGAGGCAUAGCUGAGUAGCCAAGUCUGGACGGGAUAAGUGCUGAAGGCAUCUAAGCACGAAGCCCCCCUCAAGAUAAGAUUUCCCACCACAGAAAGUGGGUAAGACUCCAGGGAGACUACCUGGUAGAUAGGCCUUAAGUGUAAGAGCAGUAAUGCUUUAAGCUUAAAGGUACUAAUAAGUCGAGGGCUUGACC
This 2916-nucleotide ribosomal RNA is filed under the name Tepidimicrobium xylanilyticum. RNAcentral describes it as "23S ribosomal RNA". It matches the Rfam family "Bacterial large subunit ribosomal RNA". Lineage: Bacteria; Bacillati; Bacillota; Tissierellia; Tissierellales; Tepidimicrobiaceae. The record is from RNAcentral.